UACGUAGGGUGCGAGCGUUAAUCGGAAUUACUGGGCGUAAAGCAUGCGCAGGCGGUUAUGUAAGACAGGUAUGAAAUCCCCGGGCUUAACCUGGGAACUGCAUUUGUGACUGCAUAGCUAGAGUACGGUAGAGGGGGAUGGAAUUCCGCGUGUAGCAGUGAAAUGCGUAGAUAUGCGGAGGAACACCGAUGGCGAAGGCAAUCCCCUGGACCUGUACUGACGCUCAUGCACGAAAGCGUGGGGAGCAAACAGG
This 253-nucleotide ribosomal RNA is filed under the name uncultured bacterium. RNAcentral describes it as "partial 16S ribosomal RNA". It matches the Rfam family "Bacterial small subunit ribosomal RNA", at positions 524 to 776 of the family's 1533-position model. The record is from RNAcentral.